This is a long non-coding RNA of Diachasmimorpha longicaudata, 718 nucleotides long. RefSeq lists it as uncharacterized. The record is from RefSeq and is a predicted model, not a curated record. Lineage: Eukaryota; Metazoa; Arthropoda; Insecta; Hymenoptera; Braconidae. The transcript is spliced from 3 exons.
GAUGAGUAAUUUUAUGGAAUAUUACAGCAAGCGAGAACGCGCAAAUGGAAAUACAGAGGAAAUCAGGAUUAUUACGGGUGGAAUGGAAAUAGAAUGAGUUCAGAAAUUGUACGGAUUUCAUUCGGGAAAUCUGUCGCAACGAAGACAAGAUUUGAUUAGUGCAGUGAACUGGAAAUUGAGAGUAGCAUUAUUAAUCCAUGUGUGAUUAUCGAGAAUACCCGGAAUUACAGGCUCGAAAGUUGUGUUGAUAGUUCCCUUCGCGAUUUGUUCGACAAGUUUAAUCUCCAAGAUAACUACAUGCGAUGUUGGACAGAGGAUGUCACAGAGAGCAGGCGAGUGGGGGAGUAAUUACUCAAGGUCUCAAACUAAAUGCUCCUCAGUGGUCCGAGGCCCCAAUAACAAAAAUCCUGCCCCAUUGACCAGUCCCUCUCCUCUUUGAACCGUCGACAGUAGUCGCAGAUCGAUACCACAAAAAUGACGGAAAAUCGGGGAAAUGUCAGCACCUGCUUUGCUGAAUUCUUAAUUUACAGGAGAUUCAAUGAAAUCUGCUGAUGUAUUUUUACGCUGAGUUUGAAAGUUCAAGCAGUCAUCGAAAUUAUGAAGGAUAUCCGAGCCUGAAGACCUCCGUGUCCUUCAGUUGUGGAAAAUAAAAUAAUAGCGAUGUAAAAAUAAAAAAUUGAUUUGAAUUCACCCUCAGCCUCUCAAAUUAUUGUACUAG